CCUACGGGGUGCAGCAGUGGGGGAUAUUGCACAAUGGGGGGAACCCUGAUGCAGCGACGCCGCGUGGGUGAAGAAGCGCCUCGGCGCGUACAGCCCUGUCAGCAGGGAAGAAAAUGACGGUACCUGAAGAAGAAGCCCCGGCUAACUACGUGCCAGCAGCCGCGGUAAUACGUAGGGGGCAAGCGUUAUCCGGAUUUACUGGGUGGAAAGGGGGCGGAGGCGGCGAUGCAAGCCAGGAGUUAAAGCCCGGGGGCCAACCCCGGGACUGCUCUUGGAACUGCGUGGCUAGAGUGCAGGAGGGGCAGGCGGAAUUCCUGGUGUAGCGGUGAAAUGCGUAGAUAUAAGGAGGAACACCAGUGGCGAAGGCGGCCUGCUGGACUGCAACUGACGUUGAGGCCCGAAAGCGUGGGGAGCAAACAGGAUUAGAUACCCCAGUAGUC
Molecule: ribosomal RNA, 440 nt
Filed under: uncultured bacterium
Lineage: Bacteria
Description: partial 16S ribosomal RNA
Rfam family: Bacterial small subunit ribosomal RNA
Source: RNAcentral